This 465-nucleotide ribosomal RNA is filed under the name uncultured bacterium. RNAcentral describes it as "partial 16S ribosomal RNA". It matches the Rfam family "Bacterial small subunit ribosomal RNA", at positions 29 to 507 of the family's 1533-position model. The record is from RNAcentral.
AUGAACGCUGGCGGCGUGCUUAACACAUGCAAGUCGAACGGAAAGGCUCCUGCUUGCAGGGGUACUCGAGUGGCGAACGGGGGAGUAACACGUGGGUGAUCUGCCCUGCACUUCGGGAUAAGCCUGGGAAACUGGGUCUAAUACCGGAUAGGACGAUGGUUUGGAUGCCAUUGUGGAAAGUUUUUUCGGUGUGGGAUGAGCUCGCGGCCUAUCAGCUUGUUGGUGGGGUAAUGGCCUACCAAGGCGUCGACGGGUAGCCGGCCUGAGAGGGUGUACGGCCACAUUGGGACUGAGAUACGGCCCAGACUCCUACGGGAGGCAGCAGUGGGGAAUAUUGCACAAUGGGCGCAAGCCUGAUGCAGCGACGCCGCGUGGGGGAUGACGGCCUUCGGGUUGUAAACUCCUUUCGCUAGGGACGAAGCGCAAGUGACGGUACCUGGAGAAGAAGCACCGGCUAACUACGUG